UACGGGGGGAGCAAGCGUUGUUCGGAAUCACUGGGCGUAAAGGGCGCGUAGGCGGCCGCGUAAGUCGCGUGUGAAAGGCCGGGGCUCAACCCCGUGUACUGCAUGCGAUACUGCACGGCUUGAGAAAGGUAGAGGUGAGCGGAAUUCCCGGUGUAGCGGUGGAAUGCGUAGAUAUCGGGAAGAACACCAGUGGCGAAGGCGGCUCGCUGGGCCUUUUCUGACGCUGAAGCGCGAAAGCGUGGGGAGCAAACAGG
RNAcentral lists this ribosomal RNA (254 nucleotides) under uncultured bacterium. RNAcentral's name for it is "partial 16S ribosomal RNA". It matches the Rfam family "Bacterial small subunit ribosomal RNA", at positions 524 to 776 of the family's 1533-position model. The record is from RNAcentral.